Molecule: ribosomal RNA, 363 nt
Filed under: uncultured bacterium
Lineage: Bacteria
Description: bacterial SSU rRNA
Rfam family: Bacterial small subunit ribosomal RNA
Source: RNAcentral
AACGAACGCUGGCGGCAGGCCUCAAACAUGCAAGUCUAGGGGGGUGCAGCAAUGCAUCACCGGCGGACGGGUGCGUAACGCGUGGGAAUAUACCUUUUGGUUCGGAACAACUGCGGGAAACUGCAGCUAAUACCGAAUGUGCCCUAACGGGGAAAGAUUUAUCGCCAAAGGAUUAGCCCGCGUAGGAUUAGCUAGUUGGUGAGGUAAUGGCUCACCAAGGCUCCGAUCCUUAGCUGCUGAGAGGAAGAUCAGCCACACUGGGACUGAGACACGGCCCAGACUCCUACGGGAGGCAGCAGUUGGGAAUCUUGGACAAUGGGGGAAACCCUGAUCCAGCCAUGCCGCGUGAGUGAUGAAGGCCUU